Non-coding RNA from Labeo rohita (rohu), 646 nucleotides. Lineage: Eukaryota; Metazoa; Chordata; Actinopteri; Cypriniformes; Cyprinidae. The record is from the annotation of a RefSeq genome assembly.
ACAGUAUACAACAACAAAUAGAUGAAUGUGAACAGCAGCAGGAAGUUUAGAGAGGAGGAAGUUCCUGUGUGUGUUUCUGACUGAUCUGCAGUGACUUACAGCUCAGAGCACUGAGAGACUCAACAGAGAACUGAACUGAUCUGAUUGAACAUGGACAGAUGUGUCAUACUGAUUCUCACUGUAGGAACAGGUUUGGUGACAGGAGACAUUUAUCCAGAUAAAGAGACAGAAAAAAACUCUAGAGAAACAGAAACUGUCAGGUUGAGCUGCUCAUAUAGUGCAAACAGUGAAUAUGUUUGGCUUUACUGGUACAGACAGUUUCCCAACAGAGAACCACAGUAUUUAUUACUCCGAGGUGCCCGAUCUAAUUCUGGUGAAGACACCUCUGAUGAUCGGUUUCAUUCGGCUACAUCACGUACAUCCACUGAACUCACUAUUACUGAUGUACGUCUGUCAGAUUCAGCUCACUAUUAUUGUGCUCUAAGAGUAGGAGCCCAGUGAUACAAAACAUGAAACAUGUCGUACAAAAACCUGAAGCUCUUUUCACUUUGAAAAUAUCUAGUGAAAACCACAAUCAAAACCACAAUCUAUCCUAAAAUAUGUGGUCACACCUGUGUAAAACCGAAUAAGGCCUUUGUUAUAAAGC